RNAcentral lists this ribosomal RNA (446 nucleotides) under uncultured bacterium. RNAcentral's name for it is "partial 16S ribosomal RNA". It matches the Rfam family "Bacterial small subunit ribosomal RNA", at positions 354 to 796 of the family's 1533-position model. The record is from RNAcentral.
GUAGGGAAUAUUGGACAAUGGGGGGAACCCUGAUCCAGCCAUGCCGCGUGGAGGAAGACUGCCCUCUGGGUUGUAAACUCCUUUUAUAUGGGAAGAACCGUCCUCAUUAAUGAGUGACCUGACGGUACCAUAGGAAUAAGCACCGGCUAACUCCGUGCCAGCAGCCGCGGUAAUACGGAGGGUGCAAGCGUUAUCCGGAUUCACUGGGUUUAAAGGGUGCGUAGGCGGAUAAAUAAGUCAGUGGUGAAAUCAACGGGCUCAACCUGUUAACUGCCAUUGAUACUGUGUAUCUUGAAUAUGAGAGAGGUAGGCGGAAUGUUACAUGUAGCGGUGAAAUGCUUAGAUAUGCUACGGAACACCGAUUGCGAAGGCAGCUUACUAUUUCGUAAUUGACGCUGAGGCACGAAAGCGUGGGUAGCGAACAGGAUUAGAAACCCUGGUAGUCC